AUUGAACGCUGGCGGCAUGCCUUACACAUGCAAGUCGAACGGCAGCACGGGAGCAAUCCUGGUGGCGAGUGGCGAACGGGUGAGUAAUAUAUCGGAACGUGCCCAGUCGUGGGGGAUAACGUAGCGAAAGCUACGCUAAUACCGCAUACGAUCUAUGGAUGAAAGCGGGGGAUCGCAAGACCUCGCGCGAUUGGAGCGGCCGAUAUCAGAUUAGGUAGUUGGUGGGGUAAAAGCCUACCAAGCCUUCGAUCUGUAGCUGGUCUGAGAGGACGACCAGCCACACUGGAACUGAGACACGGUCCAGACUCCUACGGGAGGCAGCAGUGGGGAAUUUUGGACAAUGGGCGCAAGCCUGAUCCAGCAAUGCCGCGUGCAGGAUGAAGGCCUCGGUUGUAAC
RNAcentral lists this ribosomal RNA (397 nucleotides) under uncultured bacterium. Its description in RNAcentral is "bacterial SSU rRNA". It matches the Rfam family "Bacterial small subunit ribosomal RNA", at positions 30 to 429 of the family's 1533-position model. The record is from RNAcentral.